AUGGGUGAUGUUGGUGGAUCACAAGUAUAUCCUGCCUCAGCCUAUCCACCUGGAGCAACAGUGGCUGCAGCUCCUGGUAUCACUCCUGCCGGUUCACAGCCGACGCCACCAUUCCCUGCAAAUCCAGGUCAGCUUAGUGCUGAGAACCAGCUUAUGUACGAGCAGUCGCAGCAGUAUCAGCAGCAGCUCCAGCAACUGCACCAGAGGCGGCUCCAGCAGUUCUGGGCCGAACAACGGUCAGAGAUCGAGCAGGCCACUGACAUCAAGAAGCACCCCGUGCAGCUCAAAAGGAUAAGGAAAAUCAUGAAGGCCGAUGAGGGCGUUCACAUGAUCUCGGCAGAAGCUCCGGUGGUGUUUGCGAAAGCAUGUGAGAUGUUGACACUGGAGAUGACGAUGAGGUCAUGGAUGGUCACCGAGGAGAACAAGCGCCGGAUCAUGAAGAAGAGUGACGUUGCCGAUGCUGUUGCUAGGACUGACAUCUACGACUUCCUGGCGGACAUAAUCUGCAUGGACGAGACGGAGGAGGAGGGAGUCGGGCUUCGCAGAGCCUGGCCGCCGCCACCCUUGGGGGCUCCGGCUGGCGCAUACCCGCAUUACCGCCCGCCGCAGCUGCAGGUGCCAGGUGCAGCAAUGGUGCACGGUGGCCAGCAGGUGCCGCAGGGCCAUCUGCCGCAUGUGUGGAUAGAUCUUCAGGAACAGGGACAGAAGGGACAUCAUGCGGAGGAUCAGCAAUCUGAAAGCGGCUGA
This 747-nucleotide ribosomal RNA is filed under the name Triticum aestivum (bread wheat). Its description in RNAcentral is "partial small subunit ribosomal RNA". Lineage: Eukaryota; Viridiplantae; Streptophyta; Magnoliopsida; Poales; Poaceae. The record is from RNAcentral.